This 497-nucleotide ribosomal RNA is filed under the name uncultured bacterium. RNAcentral describes it as "partial 16S ribosomal RNA". It matches the Rfam family "Bacterial small subunit ribosomal RNA", at positions 28 to 507 of the family's 1533-position model. The record is from RNAcentral.
GAUGAACGCUGGCGGCGUGCCUAAUACAUGCAAGUCGAGCGAACGGACGAGAAGCUUGCUUCUCUGAUGUAAGCGGCGGUCGGGGGAGUAACACGUGGAGAACCGCCCUAGAAGACUGGGAUAACUUCGGGAAACCGGAGCUAAUACCGGAUAAUAUUUUGAACCACAUGGUUCAAAAGUGAAAGACGGUCUUGCUGUCACUGAUAGAUGGAUCCGCGCUGCAUUAGAUAGUGGGUAAGGUAAGGGCUUACGAAGGCAACGAUGCAAAGCCGACAUGAGAGGGUGAUCGGCCACACGAGAACUGAGACACGGCCCAGACUCCUACGGGAGGCAGCAGUAGGGAAUCCUACGCAAUGGGCGAAAGCGUGACGGAGCACCGCGGCGUGAGUGAUGAAGGUCUUCGGCUCGUAAAACGCUGUUAUUAGGGAAGAACAUAUGUGUAAGUAGCUGUGCACAUCUUGACGGUACCUAAUCAGAAAGCCACGGCUAACUACGUG